GGGGGGACCAUCCUCCAAGGCUAAAUACUACUGACUGACCGAUAGUGAACCAGUACCGUGAGGGAAAGGCGAAAAGAACCCCUGUGAGGGGAGUGAAAUAGAACCUGAAACCGUGUACGUACAAGCAGUAGGAGCACCUUCGUGGUGUGACUGCGUACCUUUUGUAUAAUGGGUCAGCGACUUAUAUUCAGUGGCAAGGUUAACCAUCUAGGGGAGCCGUAGGGAAACCGAGUCUUAACUGGGCGUUCAGUCUCUGGAUAUAGACCCGAAACCAGGUGAUCUAGCCAUGGGCAGGUUGAAGGUUGAGUAACAUCAACUGGAGGACCGAACCGACUAAUGUUGAAAAAUUAGCGGAUGACUUGUGGCUAGGGGUGAAAGGCCAAUCAAACCUGGAGAUAGCUGGUUCUCCCCGAAAGCUAUUUAGGUAGCGCCUCGGACGAAUACUACUGGGGGUAGAGCACUGUUAAGGCUAGGGGGUCAUCCCGACUUACCAACCCUUUGCAAACUCCGAAUACCAGUAAGUACUAUCCGGGAGACACACGGCGGGUGCUAACGUCCGUCGUGGAGAGGGAAACAACCCAGACCGCCAGCUAAGGUCCCAAAUUACUACUAAGUGGGAAACGAUGUGGGAAGGCUCAGACAGCCAGGAUGUUGGCUUAGAAGCAGCCAUCAUU
This 674-nucleotide ribosomal RNA is filed under the name Vibrio parahaemolyticus. Its description in RNAcentral is "partial 23S ribosomal RNA". It matches the Rfam family "Bacterial large subunit ribosomal RNA", at positions 446 to 1123 of the family's 2925-position model. The record is from RNAcentral. Lineage: Bacteria; Pseudomonadati; Pseudomonadota; Gammaproteobacteria; Vibrionales; Vibrionaceae.